CCUUGCGUCUAUCCAGGCCGGCAAAGACACAACUAUUAGCCUGGCUCCCCUGAAUGCUAGAUCGCUAGCAAACAAGACAUUCAUUCUGAAUGACUUCUUCACCUCUCGUGAAUUGGAUUUUAUGUUUCUGACGGAGAGUCAGAUCGGUGAGUCUAUCCAGUUGAACUGCUCUGAGUUGAACUCUGAACUGCUCCCCCCGGAUUGUGUGUAUUUCAGCUCCCCCCGACCCACCGGCCGAGGUGGAGGGGUAGCAUCCGUUCUCAAGUCCAGCUUUCAAUGUCAAGUGUCACCGUUGUUCUCCUUCUCCAGCUUUCAGCUGCAGACUUUCGUUUUAAACUGUAAUCCACCCAUCAUGGGCGCGGUAGUCUACCGUCCGCCUCGGUUCAAUAAGGAUUUUAUAAAGGACUACACGGAUUUUAUGGCAGGACUGACGGUGAACUAUGACCGAUGUUUAAUUGUUGGGGACUUCAAUAUUCACGUCUGCUGCGAAUCACGUCUCACGAGACCUUCAGAACCUCAUUGACUCUUUUAAUAUUAUUUAGUCUGUAUCUGACCCAACACAUGAAAAGGGACACACACUGGACCUCGUAUUGUCAUUUGGUCUGCAGAAAUCUGCAAAGGAAACAACAGCAGUCCUGUCCAUUAUGUACUGUCCGACGAAGUGACCCCUCCUGGUGGGUCAGGGGAGAAAUAAAAUGUUCUCCUACAGAGGACCACAUCAUCCGCAAAAAGCAGGGACGAGAUCCUCAGAUCACUGGGACGAAAACUGCAUUGUUCCUCCUUGAUCAGAGGUUCAGCUAUCGAUCAGACCCUCUUUUCCAGCACCCUGGCAUAGACUUUCCCUGGGAGGCUGAGGAGUGUGAUCCCCCUAUAAUUGAAGCACACCCUCUGGUCCCCUUUCUUAAAGAUGAGAACCACCACCCUGAUCUGCCAAUCCAGAGGCACUGGCCCCAUUGUCCCUGCAGUGUUGCAGAGGGGUGUCAACCAAGGCAGCCCCACAACAUCCAGAGCCUUGAGAUACUCAAAGUAUUCCUUCCACCGCCAGUCAGUAGCUCCUCGUUGCUGUCUUCCACCCCUGAGGCACCGGACGGUUUGCCAGAACCUCUUUAGAGCCAACCGAUAGCCUUCUUCCAUAGCCUCACCAAACUCCUCCCAUGCCCUCAGUGACUACCCUGCUAGUUUCCAUAAAUGAGGAUCAGACCGUCAAGGCCCCCGCAGCCCAAUCCACACUGCACCGGACUCUUCCUGGACCUCAUGCGAGUGGUGGGCCCACAGGGAGGUGAGUCCAUGUAACCCGUUCAAGCUGGGCCCGGCCAGGCCUCACAGACAAAGGCCCGACCACCAGGCGAUUGCCCACGAGCCCCAAAGCCAGGUACACUGACUCUCGCUUGAAUUUAUAAUUUAGGGUCUUAUGAACCGUACUUUGUCUAACCCUUCACCUAGGACCAAUCUGAGGAGCAUCACUCCAUCACUGAUUUUUAUUAUAGCCCAGAUGUGUUAACUUUACUGUUGUUGUUUUGAUAAUUUUGACUUUAAUUUCUCAUUAUUGCUGUUUAAAUUAUGAUUAAUGACUUAUUUGUGUGUAUUUUCAUGCAACAGAAUUAAUUGAAAUGUGACCCAUAACUUGUAAAAGAAUUCUAUUUGUUUUUAAAAAAUGAAAGACACUAACCUCUAAAUCAUAACUGUAUUUAAUAUAUUAUAUUUUAGUUGGGACAAAUGGCUCAAACCAGGAGCGAGGCCACGGUGGGAGUGCCUCACUAGCACCUCAGAUAGCCAUUCACCUAGCUCAGUAGCCUGAGCUAACUCGGUAGCACGGAGUUUGGUGAGCAGGUUUCAACGUUCAGGCUGCUUUAGCUCCGUCCCAACACAACCCGCAUAUCCAUAUUUGAAGUAUCUGAGUGUGGGCGGAGUAAAGCUCAUCCAAUAUGGUGGUUGCAGGCUUCACCCACUUUGGGCUUCAUUUUGAGAUUCAGAAUCCAACGGUUGAUGUCACAAUAGGUUUGUCUAUAGUAUAUACAGUCAAUGGGUGGCAUCUCUGUGUUCACACUGAUAGAGGGGAGGGGAAGGGAUACACACAUGCAACGCAGAGAGCACAGUAGUACAUGAACAGUAGAUAGGGAUAGAAAUGAAAGAAAACAGUAAAGUCUGGACACAUUUUAAUGUACUUGAUGGUACAAAGGUAGAGCGUACACUGUGUCAGUCAAAAUGUCAUGCUCCACUAAUAACUUGCACAGGCACAUGCAAACUGUCCAUAUUUGUUUUUGUAUUUUAUUAUGUGAUAAUAUGUUUUUUGUAGGAGGUACAGCGGUGUGGUGGUUAGCACUGAUGCCUCACAGUAAGAGUCAACACAUGUGACUAUAUCCUCCUGUCUCCUGUGGGUACUAAAAGGUAUAUUCUGGAAGCUUUCAUUGCUACGCGCUAAGGAAAAGAAGAAAAGGAAAUUUUCUGACACAAAGUUUGAUUUGCCAUGUUACCCAGCAAUAUUUGGGGCACUACAAAGCAUGCUGUAAUGCUGUAAUGCUGUUUUUGCAAACCAUUAUACUUCUAUCAGUCUUGUAUUCUGUACCAUGAAAAUCAAUUCAAGGGUACUGGCUAGUUACUGACUCCCAAACGUUCCAGCAUGGAAGUUUUAUGUCAACACUGUUACUGUCAUUUUCAACACUCUUACUGUCAUUUUCACAAAAUAAAUCUGUUCUAGGUGAACUUUCUCUGGGAAGAUGAUGGAUGCCUCUUCACUUGUGCUAUACAUGGGUGUUUCAAUGUGAUUCUUUGAACUUAAAAGUAACAAACGCAGCAUACAAUGCAGAACAAAUAAAGUAAAAGCCAUCAGUGUUGCUGCUCCGCUCCACCUGAUGUAUUUUUGGCUGCGGCUGUGUCCCAGUUGUGUGCGGCUCCUUGGUGUUGGGAGGCAGGUGAAGGGUGUCUGGUGACAAAAUGCCUGGUGUGUAGCCUAUUUUCCAGGUUCUGACCUUCUCUGAAUACACUGCUGUGAGCAUAACGAAGAUGAAUUGGAGCACAGAGGCUGUCCACUGUUAGAAAAACAAAAAAAGAACAAGAGUAAAACAUGGAGUUUGUCUCAUUUUCUCUUUCAAUUUGCUUGUUACUCUGCCUUCCUUUUGCCAUUUCAUUCUUCCCUGUUUCCUCUCUGCACAGUAAUAGAGUAUUUGAGGUCAGUUCUAGGUUCACAGGAAGGGUUUGAACCAACAGUAGAAGAAGAUUGUCUGUCUUAACCUGCAUGACAUGGAAACACAACAAAAUAGAAUUAAUAAUUUACAGUUAACACUAAACAAGUGAAAGAUUCAGAUUUCAACCUCUACAGCUCCAAAUGCGAAGAUGCUUUUGCUCCUCCGGGUCAUUGAGUGUUAGAAAUUACUCCCUUACACAUGUCAUUGUCCUCCAGGGAGAAGGACAACAUUUUGGUGAUGGACACAAAUGACACAAGUCUGAAGUAGUCGCAGUCAAGACUGCUAUGGAGCGCAUUUGAUUUAGAAAUCGAGGAAAGCUAGUCUCAAACUGUCAGCACAAAAAAUAUGUUUUCUACCAUCUCUUUGUAGAUGACACUCAUUUGCUGGUGGAUGUUAUGGACUCUGGUUACCCAAGGUAACUCUCUUGCUUUGGGGCUCCUUCACAUGUAGGUAAAUCUCAUUGUGCAAGCUUCCACAAGUCGUACGAAACCAGUUUUAUGAGGUUACCAAAGAGAAAUGCAGGAAACCUCUUCAAGAAAUUAUUCCGUGCCUUUUGGAUAAAAAAAACUGAAUGUUUUCACUAGUGUACCUAAUGAACUGGCAAGUGUAUAUUCAUACAUAAAGUUGGAAUAAAAUAUAUUUUUUUUACCUCUUAUGAAAUAAUUGUGACAAUGUGACCUACUCUUGUCUUGUGCAGAACUUCUCAAAAUGUUACUGAUAAAGAAAGGUGGCUGAAAACAAAACUAUUCCAACUUCAUGGGCAACAGUGCAUAACACAUACCUUCACUUAAUUAAGUGCUUAAUGCAGAAAUCCCCCUGGUAUCAUGCAUCAAUUAGUACAAUCCACACCAGUUUGGCUUUUUUUUUCCAGCUGUACUUUUUUUUUUUUUUUUUUUUUUCCCAAUUGGCCUUGAUCUGCUAAAGGCUUUUUCAUGUUAAAAGGGGAUUUUACUUGCAAUGGUCACAUUAAUCUGGGCUAUGAGGAUAUUAGACUGAUCUGGCGUAUGAUGACUUUCUAAUAUUGUGUUAUUUGUCAUUUUGCUGCCAAAACUGCCAUGACCUGUUGAGGCAUGGACUCCACUCGACCUCUGAAGGUGUGCUGUGGUAUCUGGCACCAAGAUGUUAGCAGCUGAUCAGAUUGGACUGGGCUUCAGCCAAGUCUGAUCUUUACUAGUUAUUUAUUUUCCCUGCAGAGUCCAGCAAGCUCAACUUACCCGGGUUACUCCAACUUAUCCAGCUGAAACUAUCCACAACAAUGGCAAUCUGUAUAAGCGGUAUCACGACACUGGUUAUCAACAGGGUAACUUAACCCAGGUUUGUCUUGUUGUGAAUCAUUGAACGCAAUUGGGUCUUCAUUGAAAGGGCAUAUGAUUCUUUCCCGAACAGCUCAUUCGGCUGGUGGGUGGAGCCUUUUAUCGGAUUCAGAUAAAUCCUGAAAGUUAUCCUGACCCAAAGCAGGUUUGCAGUUCAAAGCUUCAGGUGGUGCAGGAUGUAGUGCAGAGCCACGUUGACUGCAUCAUCCACGGAUCUCUUUGCCCUAUAGGCAAACUGCAGAACGGUCUAACGGUCAGUGAUGGUCUUCAGGUGGGCCAACAUCAGUCACUCAAAGGACUUCAUGACCACAGACAUCAGGGCGACUGGUCUGUAGUCAUUUAAUCCUGUGACAGGGGCCUUUUUGGGGUCCGGGAUGAUGGUGGAGCAUCUGAUGCAGGAGGGGACCUCACAGAACUACAGGGAGCUGUUGAAGAUCUGAGUGAAGACGGGAGCCAGCUGGUCAGCACAGGCUUUCAGGCAGGACGGAGACACUUCAUCGGGUCCUGGAGCCUUCCUGAUCCUGAGGAUGCAAGUCCUGUUCAUAGAUCCUCAGUGCAGGCACGGGGCCAGACAGGGGGUGGGGAUCGGGGUGCAGGUAUAUCCAGGAAGGGGCAGAGCUGACUCUUCUUCCUUCAGAGACUCAGAUUCUUCAACGUGUGUAGUGAAAUGCUACUGUUAUUCAACCAGUCGGUGGUUGCCAGUGCUAUACUAGUUAAGGAGGCUGGGUUUCUGAUUGGCAGGAAGCUGGACUCACUACGGACUAUUGUUUAGAGGCGCACGUGCAACACAGUGCAGUCCAUUCUGGACAACAUCUUCAUGACAUCCUGGAGGGGCAGAGAAGCAGCAACAGUGAGAGGCUUCUCUCACUACGCUGCAGGACUGAGAGGUUCAGGAGGUCCUUUGUCCCCACAGCCAUCAGACUGUACAAUGCCACUGUCUAAAUGCUUAAAUCCUCACUUACUCACUCACACUUGUAAAUUGAUCAACUGUACAUAGUUUUACAUGUUAAUACGUGUUAGUACAGUCUUAUACAUAUUUCCAGUCUUUCUUCUUCUUUUGCACUGUUGAUUCUGUGAUCUUGUUGGUGUGUUAUGUUCUGUUGAUGUUUGUGUAUAUGUGUGCACAAGCUACUGGACACUCUAAAUUCCCCCAGGGGAUGAAUAAAGUAUUUUUUUCUAUUCCAUUCAGUCAUUAAGUAGUUCACAGUAGCAAAUCAUACA
Molecule: long non-coding RNA, 5719 nt
Organism: Mugil cephalus (flathead mullet)
Lineage: Eukaryota; Metazoa; Chordata; Actinopteri; Mugiliformes; Mugilidae
Exons: 3
Source: RefSeq, a predicted model, not a curated record